This 1439-nucleotide ribosomal RNA is filed under the name uncultured organism. RNAcentral describes it as "SSU rRNA". It matches the Rfam family "Bacterial small subunit ribosomal RNA". The record is from RNAcentral.
CGCUAGCUACAGGCUUAACACAUGCAAGUCGAGGGGCAGCAUGGUCUUAGCUUGCUAAGGCCGAUGGCGACCGGCGCACGGGUGAGUAACACGUAUCCAACCUGCCGUCUACUCUUGGACAGCCUUCUGAAAGGAAGAUUAAUACAAGAUGGCAUCAUGAGUCCGCAUGUUCACAUGAUUAAAGGUAUUCCGGUAGACGAUGGGGAUGCGUUCCAUUAGAUAGUAGGCGGGGUAACGGCCCACCUAGUCUUCGAUGGAUAGGGGUUCUGAGAGGAAGGUCCCCCACAUUGGAACUGAGACACGGUCCAAACUCCUACGGGAGGCAGCAGUGAGGAAUAUUGGUCAAUGGGCGAGAGCCUGAACCAGCCAAGUAGCGUGAAGGAUGGCUGCCCUAUGGGUUGUAAACUUCUUUUAUAAAGGAAUAAAGUCGGGUAUGCAUACCCGUUUGCAUGUACUUUAUGAAUAAGGAUCGGCUAACUCCGUGCCAGCAGCCGCGGUAAUACGGGAGGAUCCGAGCGUUAUCCGGAUUUAUUGGGGUUAAAGGGAGCGUAGAUGGGAUGUUAAGUCCAGUGUGAAAAGUUUGCGGCUCAACCGUAAAACUGCAGUUGAUACUGGAUAUCUUGAGUGCAGUUGAGGCAGGCGGAAUUCGUGGUGUAGCGGUGAAAUGCUUAGAUAUCACGAAGAACUCCGAUUGCGAAGGCAGCCUGCUAAGCUGCAACUGACAUUGAGGCUCGAAAGUGUGAGUAUCAAACAGGAUUAGAUACCCUGGUAGUCCACACGGUAAACGAUGAAUACUCGCUGUUUGCGAUAUACAGCAAGCGGCCAAGCGAAAGCGUUAAGUAUUCCACCUGGGGAGUACGCCGGCAACGGUGAAACUCAAAGGAAUUGACGGGGGCCCGCACAAGCGGAGGAACAUGUGGUUUAAUUCGACGAUACGCGAGGAACCUUACCCGGGCUUAAAUUGCAGAUGAAUUACGGUGAAAGCCGUAAGCCGCAAGGCAUCUGUGAAGGUGCUGCAUGGUUGUCGUCAGCUCGUGCCGUGAGGUGUCGGCUUAAGUGCCAUAACGAGCGCAACCCUUGUUGUCAGUUACUAACAGGUUCCGCUGAGGACUCUGACAAGACUGCCAUCGUAAGAUGUGAGGAAGGUGGGGAUGACGUCAAAUCAGCACGGCCCUUACGUCCGGGGCUACACACGUGUUACAAUGGGGGGGUACAGAGGGCCGCUACCACGCGAGUGGAUGCCAAUCCCCAAAACCUCUCUCAGUUCGGACUGGAGUCUGCAACCCGACUCCACGAAGCUGGAUUCGCUAGUAAUCGCGCAUCAGCCACGGCGCGGUGAAUACGUUCCCGGGCCUUGUACACACCGCCCGUCAAGCCAUGGGAGCCGGGGGUACCUGAAGUGCGUAACCGCGAGGAGCGCCCUAGGGUAAAACUGGUGA